AGGACGAACGCUUGCGGCGUGCCUAAGAAAUGCAAGUCGAACGGGAGGCUUCGGUCUCCAGUGGCGAACGGUCGCGUAACACGUAGGCAACCUGCCCUAAAGUGGGGGACAACAAUCCGAAAGGAUUGCUAAUACCGCAUGUGGCCAACGAGAGGCAUCUCUUGUUGUCCAAAGCAGCGAUGCGCUUUAGGAUGGGCUUGCGGCCUAUCAGCUUGUUGAUGGGGUAACGCCUACCAAGGCGACGACGGGUAGCUGGUCUGAGAGGAUGGUCAGCCGGAUUGGGACUGAGAUACGGCCCAGACUCCUACGGGGGCAGCAAUUAGGAAUCUUGCACAAUGGGCGAAAGCCUGAUGCAGCGACGCCGCGUGAGGGAUGACGGCCUUCGGGUUGUAACCUCUUUAUCGGGGAGAAGAUGUGACGGUACCGAGGAAUAAGCCCGGCUAACUACGCGCCAGCAGCCGC
Molecule: ribosomal RNA, 462 nt
Filed under: uncultured bacterium
Lineage: Bacteria
Description: SSU rRNA
Rfam family: Bacterial small subunit ribosomal RNA
Source: RNAcentral